GAAAUGCGAUAAGUAAUGUGAAUUGCAGAAUUCAGUGAAUCAUCGAAUCUUUGAACGCACAUUGCGCUCGCCAGUAUUCUGGCGAGCAUGCCUGUUCGAGCGUCAUUUCAACCAUCAAGCUCUGCUUGCGUUGGGGAUCCGCGGCUGCCCGCGGUCCCUCAAAAACAGUGGCGGGCUCGCUAGUCACACCGAGCGUAGUAACUCUACAUCGCUAUGGUCGUGCGGCGGGUUCUUGUCGUAAAACCCCCAAUUUCUAAGGUUGACCUCGGAUCAGGUAGGAAUACCCGCUGAACUUAAGC
This 299-nucleotide unclassified non-coding RNA is filed under the name plant metagenome. RNAcentral describes it as "partial contains 5.8S ribosomal RNA, internal transcribed spacer 2, and large subunit ribosomal RNA". The stretch from base 1 to 105 matches the Rfam family "5.8S ribosomal RNA", at positions 50 to 154 of the family's 154-position model. The record is from RNAcentral.